Molecule: ribosomal RNA, 494 nt
Filed under: uncultured bacterium
Lineage: Bacteria
Description: partial 16S ribosomal RNA
Rfam family: Bacterial small subunit ribosomal RNA
Source: RNAcentral
ACGAACGCUGGCGGCGUGCCUAAUACAUGCAAGUAGAACGCUGAAGGAGGAGCUUGCUUCUCCGGAUGCGUUGCGAACGGGUGAGUAACGCGUAGGUAACCUGCCUGGUAGCGGGGGAUAACUAUUGGAAACGAUAGCUAAUACCGCAUAAGAGUAGAUGUCGCAUGACAUUUGCUUAAAAGGUGCAACUGCACCACUACCAGAUGGACCUGCGUUGUAUUAGCUAGUUGGUGAGGUAACGGCUCACCAAGGCAACGAUACAUAGCCGACCUGAGAGGGUGAUCGGCCACACUGGGACUGAGACACGGCCCAGACUCCUACGGGAGGCAGCAGUAGGGAAUCUUCGGCAAUGGACGGAAGUCUGACCGAGCAACGCCGCGUGAGUGAAGAAGGUUUUCGGAUCGUAAAGCUCUGUUGUAAGAGAAGAACGAGUGUGAGAGUGGAAAGUUCACACUGUGACGGUAUCUUACCAGAAAGGGACGGCUAACUACGUG